AGGGUUUGAUCAUGGCUCAGAGCGAACGCUGGCGGCAGGCCUAACACAUGCAAGUCGAGCGGCCGUAGCAAUACGGCAGCGGCAGACGGGAGAGUAACACGUGGGAACGCGCCCUUCGGUUCGGGAUAACCCAGGGAAACUUGGGCUAAUACCGGAUACGCCCUUACGGGGAAAGAUUUAUUGCCGAAGGAACGGCCCGCGUCCGAUUAGCUAGUUGGUGAGGUAACGGCUCACCAAGGCGACGAUCGGUAGCUGGUCUGAGAGGAUGACCAGCCUCACUGGGACUGAGACACGGCCCAGACUCCUACGGGAGGCAGCAGUGGGGAAUAUUGGACAAUGGGCGCAAGCCUGAUCCAGCCAUGCCGCGUGGGUGAUGAAGGCCCUAGGGUUGUAAAGCCCUUUCAGCGGGGAAGAUAAUGACGGUACCCGCAGAAGAAGCCCCGGCUAACUUCGUGCCAGCAGCCGCGGUAAUACGAAGGGGGCUAGCGUUGCUCGGAAUUACUGGGCGUAAAGCGCACGUAGGCGGCUUUCUAAGUCGGGGGUGAAAUCCUGGAGCUCAACUCCAGAACUGCCUUCGAUACUGGAAAGCUCGAGUCCGGGAGAGGUGAGUGGAACUGCGAGUGUAGAGGUGAAAUUCGUAGAUAUUCGCAAGAACACCAGUGGCGAAGGCGGCUCACUGGCCCGGUACUGACGCUGAGGUGCGAAAGCGUGGGGGAGCAAACAGGAUUAGAUACCCUGGUAGUCCACGCCGUAAACGAUGGAUGCUAGCCGUUGGCGAGCUUGCUCGUCAGUGGCGCAGCUAACGCUUUAAGCAUCCCGCCUGGGGAGUACGGUCGCAAGA
RNAcentral lists this ribosomal RNA (841 nucleotides) under uncultured Alphaproteobacteria bacterium. Its description in RNAcentral is "bacterial SSU rRNA". It matches the Rfam family "Bacterial small subunit ribosomal RNA", at positions 8 to 893 of the family's 1533-position model. Lineage: Bacteria; Pseudomonadati; Pseudomonadota; Alphaproteobacteria. The record is from RNAcentral.